This 482-nucleotide long non-coding RNA is filed under the name Citrus x clementina. RNAcentral describes it as "Citrus clementina (C. clementina) long non-coding RNA (CCLE_LNC004513)". Lineage: Eukaryota; Viridiplantae; Streptophyta; Magnoliopsida; Sapindales; Rutaceae. The record is from RNAcentral.
UUCUUUAGAUAUACAAUCCUUCACAACAAAUAUAAAGAACAAAACCAAAAUCAAACCCAUUGGCUACUACUGCUGGAAAUAAAGCCUCUUCAAAACAUCACCCCCAUCAUCUUUGAGAGCAAUCCCACAAGCUCCACAAUAGUGGUCUCUAAUAAAUUGAUUGAUAAAAGAUCUGUAUUUGAAGAUAAUCAAGAGUUAACAAAUAAAAUUAAUAAAUUCUAGAGCUAGAAAAGUGGAUCAAAAGUUAUCUACUAUGAGUACCAGAACCAAAGUAUUUUUGCCAAUAACUAUUCAGCAAACCUGAUAAAUUAUGCAUUAAUAAACUAAUUCAAGAAAAUUGAAAGCUCAAAAAAAAAAAAAAACCGAAGCUAGCUAAAAUUUUGAAAUUUCAAAUAUCGAAGUCGUGUAACUAUAAAAACUAUUAUCAUUCAUUGAAAAAUGAAUAAAUAAAAGAUGAUCAAGAAUUAUAAUCAAAUAAAAAC